UACGGAGGGUGCAAGCGUUGCUCGGAAUUAUUGGGCGUAAAGGGUAGGUAGGUGGUCUCAUUUGUCUGGGGUGAAAGCCUCGAGCUUAACUCGAGAAGUGCCUCGGAAACGGUGAGACUAGAGUCUUGGAGAGGGUCGUGGAAUUCCCGGUGUAGCGGUGAAAUGCGUAGAGAUCGGGAGGAACACCAGCGGCGAAGGCGGCGACCUGGACAAGUACUGACACUCAACUACGAAAGCGUGGGGAGCAAACAGG
RNAcentral lists this ribosomal RNA (253 nucleotides) under uncultured bacterium. RNAcentral describes it as "partial 16S ribosomal RNA". It matches the Rfam family "Bacterial small subunit ribosomal RNA", at positions 524 to 776 of the family's 1533-position model. The record is from RNAcentral.